Molecule: ribosomal RNA, 253 nt
Filed under: uncultured bacterium
Lineage: Bacteria
Description: partial 16S ribosomal RNA
Rfam family: Bacterial small subunit ribosomal RNA
Source: RNAcentral
UACGUAGGGGGCAAGCGUUGUCCGGAAUCAUUGGGCGUAAAGCGCGCGUAGGCGGCCCGGUAAGUCCGCUCUGAAAGUCCAGGGCUUAACCCUGGAAAGCGGGUGGAUACUGCCGGGCUUGAGUCCGGAAGAGGCGAGUGGAAUUCCCGGUGUAGCGGUGAAAUGCGCAGAUAUCGGGAGGAACACCAAUGGCGAAGGCAGCUCGCUGGGACGUGACUGACGCUGAGACGCGAAAGCGUGGGGAGCAAACAGG